Pelobates cultripes (western spadefoot toad) is the source of this 305-nucleotide non-coding RNA. The record is from the annotation of a GenBank genome assembly. Lineage: Eukaryota; Metazoa; Chordata; Amphibia; Anura; Pelobatidae.
UUGUUACAGCACCCCCAGGCAUAAAAGGGUUAAACCGCCAUUUAGAAGAUCUUCCCCAGAGAUACAGGCACAGCUACUGCAGAACACCAAACUCUCGAACUGAAUACAAGGGAAUGCUCCAAACUCCCGAACUGCAUACAAAGUAGCACUCCAAACUCCCGAACUGGAACCUCACGAAUAGCUGCUAGCAGACGAACAGGAAAAGCACCCAAGCGGCUUACACUCCUGGCAAUCAGUCUCUAACAGCAUACAGUAAAUCCCCCCAAAGACGAGACAGAGCUCCGUGUUGAGGGUCAAGCAGUGGU